Molecule: long non-coding RNA, 324 nt
Organism: Rhinolophus ferrumequinum (greater horseshoe bat)
Lineage: Eukaryota; Metazoa; Chordata; Mammalia; Chiroptera; Rhinolophidae
Exons: 4
Source: RefSeq, a predicted model, not a curated record
CUGGGGAACAUCAGUGUUUCUGUCUUGUAGCAGCUCUUCUCACUCGGACCCCCAAGAGCCCACCUACCACAACGUGCCAGCCUGGCUAGAAAUGCAGCCAGUGUACAGCAAUGUAAAUCCUAAAGGAGGAGACGUGGUGUACUCGGAAGUCUGCCACGUCCAGGGCAGAAACAAACGCGCCGCGGCCCCCACAGCCAGGCUGCCCGAGGACAAGGAUUCCUCUGUCAUCUACUCCCAGGUGAAGGUCUACACCCCAGGCUCCAGGUCCCAGCUCUCAGCCUCCUCGGCUCCUCACAGAUGAGUCCACACCGCUCCCCGACUGCU